AGCCCUGAGGUGUUUCACAUCAGAUUGCAAAUCUGAAGAAGCGGGUUAGCACCUGCCGGGGCUU
This 64-nucleotide transfer RNA is filed under the name Pelobates fuscus (common spadefoot toad). Its description in RNAcentral is "tRNA-Cys". It matches the Rfam family "tRNA". From Rfam's summary of the family: Transfer RNA (tRNA) molecules are approximately 80 nucleotides in length. Their secondary structure includes four short double-helical elements and three loops (D, anti-codon, and T loops). Further hydrogen bonds mediate the characteristic L-shaped molecular structure. tRNAs have two regions of fundamental functional importance: the anti-codon, which is responsible for specific mRNA codon recognition, and the 3' end, to which the tRNAs corresponding amino acid is attached (by aminoacyl-tRNA synthetases). tRNAs cope with the degeneracy of the genetic code in two manners: having more than one tRNA (with a specific anti-codon) for a particular amino acid; and 'wobble' base-pairing, i.e. permitting non-standard base-pairing at the 3rd anti-codon position. Lineage: Eukaryota; Metazoa; Chordata; Amphibia; Anura; Pelobatidae. The record is from RNAcentral.